AGUGAACGCUGGCGGUAGGCCUAACACAUGCAAGUCGAACGGCAGCACAGGAGAGCUUGCUCUCUGGGUGGCGAGUGGCGGACGGGUGAGGAAUACAUCGGAAUCUACUCUGUCGUGGGGGAUAACGUAGGGAAACUUACGCUAAUACCGCAUACGACCUACGGGUGAAAGCAGCGGAUCUUCGGACCUUGCGCGAUUGAAUGAGCCGAUGUCGGAUUAGCUAGUUGGCGGGGUCAAGGCCCACCAAGGCGACGAUCCGUAGCUGGUCUGAGAGGAUGAUCAGCCACACGGGAACUGAGACACGGUCCAGACUCCUACGGGAGGCAGCAGUGGGGAAUAUUGGACAAUGGGCGCAAGCCUGAUCCAGCCAUACCGCGUGGGUGAAGAAGGCCUUCGGGUUGUAAAGCCCUUUUGUUGGGAAAGAAAUCCAGCUGGCUAAUACCCGGUUGGGAUGACGGUACCCAAAGAAUAAGCACCGGCUAACUUCGUGCCAGCCGCCGCAGUAA
Molecule: ribosomal RNA, 506 nt
Filed under: uncultured bacterium
Lineage: Bacteria
Description: partial 16S ribosomal RNA
Rfam family: Bacterial small subunit ribosomal RNA
Source: RNAcentral